UACGUAGGCGGCUUUUUAAGUCGGAUGUGAAAUCCCUGAGCUUAACUUAGGAAUUGCAUUCGAUACUGGGGAGCUAGAGUAUGGGAGAGGAUGGUAGAAUUCCAGGUAUAGCGGUGAAAUGCGUAGAGAUCUGGAGGAAUACCGAUGGCGAAGGCAGCCAUCUGGCCUAAUACUGACGCUGAGGUACGAAAGCAUGGGGAGCAAACA
RNAcentral lists this ribosomal RNA (207 nucleotides) under uncultured bacterium. RNAcentral describes it as "partial 16S ribosomal RNA". It matches the Rfam family "Bacterial small subunit ribosomal RNA", at positions 568 to 774 of the family's 1533-position model. The record is from RNAcentral.